AGCGAACGCUGGCGGCAGGCUUAACACAUGCAAGUCGAACGGGCACUUCGGUGUCAGUGGCAGACGGGUGAGUAACGCGUGGGAACAUACCUCUUGGUUCGGAACAACACAGGGAAACUUGUGCUAAUACCGGAUAAGCCCUUACGGGAAGGAUUUAUCGCCGAGAGAUUGGCCCGCGUCUGAUUAGCUAGUUGGUGUGGUAAAAGACGCACCAAGGCGACGAUCAGUAGCNGGUCUGAGAGGAUGAUCAGCCACAUUGGGACGUGAGACACGGCCCAAACUACCUACGGGAGGGCAGCAGUGGGGAAGUAAUUGGUACGAAUGGGCGGCAAGACCUCGAUCCACGCCACUGCCGCGUGAGUGAU
Molecule: ribosomal RNA, 365 nt
Filed under: uncultured bacterium
Lineage: Bacteria
Description: bacterial SSU rRNA
Rfam family: Bacterial small subunit ribosomal RNA
Source: RNAcentral